This is a long non-coding RNA of Triticum dicoccoides, 2024 nucleotides long. RefSeq lists it as uncharacterized. Lineage: Eukaryota; Viridiplantae; Streptophyta; Magnoliopsida; Poales; Poaceae. The transcript is spliced from 3 exons. The record is from RefSeq and is a predicted model, not a curated record.
CACAACACGCACGUGAGGGGAUAAGCCCCAGGCCACACGUAUCCCCUCGCGCCGCUCCUCUCUCCAACCUGUGGCCGAGACCCCGCUUGCCUCCCUCGAUUCUCCUCUCCUCUCUCCUCUCACUUGCAAGCCCCCAAUCGCCGUCGGCCAGCUCUCCUUUCCUCGACGCUCCCUCCCGAUUCCCUCAGGAGUCACGCCCGAGCGCCCGAGGAGAGGAGCUCCUAGAGCACCGGCGCCCGCCGUCGGCAAGACCAUGGCCAGGAGCUCCCCACGCGCCAUGGAGUUUGCAGAGGACCUCCCCUGCCUCACGCCGCCGCCUCGUUAGCCCCGCGCCCGGAGCGCGCCACUGCGGCACCUCUCAUUCUCCCUCUUUUCCUUUCUUCUCCUCCCUGGAUCGUCCUCACCCCCCACGCAUCUCUCUCCCUCUAUGUGUUCCAGGAAACGGCCAUGGCCGAGCGCCAAGCCGAAUCGAGCUCUGACGCCCUCUGCUAUCCGUCGUGCCGGCCAGCCUCCUCUACGCCGGGGCCCUGCAGCCAUCCAACCGCCUCGGAUCUCGCCGGACCCGUCCGGAUCGGGACUCGCGUUGCCCGCCGAGCUUGCCACCUGCGCUGUCGCUGCCUUCUGUCGAGCAGGAGCUCGUCCGUGGACUCCUCUGCUCCCGUCGACCGAGCGAGCAAAUGCCCAUGACCCCCGUGGAUAGCACCGCAGUGGGUGCACUCUACACUGCGCUGCCGCACUGCUCCCGCUGCCGCCGCCUCGUCUCCCCUCCUUUCUCCAGUUUUUCCUCCCUCCAUCUUCCCGUCUCCUUCCUGACAGGAGCCAGAUGCCAUGAAUUCUCCCGGGAAGUCGCGCUCCGGCCUUAAUCGUCGUCACCGGCGACCCCCGUCCUCACCGCCCGCCUCCGAAUCCUUCCCAGCCCCUGCCGUGCAUGGAUCCGUUCGCUGCAAGCUCCAGCCGUCGCGCCGCCGCCGUUCUGCAGAUCGCGGGUUGAAUAGAUGAAAACACAUGGUCCUGUUUGUAAAUUCGAAACAUUUUUCUGACUGAGUAAAGCGUGUACUGCGGGUUAAUUUCUAAAAAAUAGGGGGACUUUUCUGCAAAACGGCCGGCGACGUACGACCAGAAGCAGUCGCUGCUUUAUUAGUAGGGAAGAUAUAUAUAUAUAUAUAUAUAUAUAUAGGUAAAGAGGUAAAGAGGUAAAGAUAAAGAUUGCAUGAGAGUCUCGAAAUCUCUCUCUAUAUAUCUACGUGAAGUAAUCAGCCUGACAGAUACUUUCACUUGGCAUGCAUGCAGAUGAUGUCGGCCGCCGGAUACGCCAUACCGACGCCAUUCUUGCCGCUGGGGGUGAUGCCGCCGUCGUGCAUGCAGCUGCCUGCUGCAGGCGGGCAGGCGCCGGUGAUGGUCCCUCAGUACCCGGUUUUCCCGGCGGUGUACUCUUGUCCACACCACGGCACGCCGCUGCCGCCAUUGGCGCCGUGUGCUCGUCAUCUUGGUGCCGGCGAGCCGCGGCCGCUUGCUCCUCGCCGUCGCCAUCUCGUCCCAAACGAUUUCACCGUGCCGAGCCACAGCGGGAGAAGCCAGAAAUGACCUACGUACGUGCACCAUCAAUGGAAUCGAAACGAUCGAUCUUAUGGUCUGAACGAUAUGCAUGGCCAGCUAGCAGCAGCGCGCGUGAGGUCGUGUGGUACUACCUCUCUCUCAGUUUACAGGGCGUGGGCGUACCUCUAGGUCGUCAAUUUGAUCAACCUAAUACAAGUCAUAUAUUACAAAAAAUAUACCAACAUAAACUUUGGAGUUUUUACUUUCAAAAGGUAUAAUUUUUGUGUUAUAUAGUUUAUAUUAGGAUGAUAAAAUUGACAACCUAGGUAUACGUGCAUGACUUGUAAACUGAAACGGAGGUAGUAGUACUUACGUGUUUAAUUACUACGGCUUGUUUUAAUUGUAAUUUUUUUUUGCGAUGAAUGUUUCAAUUGUAAUUACUGAGUAAUAAUAGUGGUAGUAGUAGUAGGCAGUAAGAUCAUGUAUUC